AUCAAUCGGGCAUCAUUUGGGCGGAAUUCCGAAUUGGCCUUUAAAUAUGAGAUCUCAAGGUUCCGAUUGCAAGCCCAGCUUGCUGGGUGGAUUAGUGGCGAACGGGUGAGUAACACGUGAGUAACCUGCCCUUAACUCUGGGAUAAGCCUGGGAAACUGGGUCUAAUACCGGAUAGGAGCGUCCACCGCAUGGUGGGUGUUGGAAAGAUUUAUCGGUUUUGGAUGGACUCGCGGCCUAUCAGCUUGUUGGUGAGGUAAUGGCUCACCAAGGCGACGACGGGUAGCCGGCCUGAGAGGGUGACCGGCCACACUGGGACUGAGACACGGCCCAGACUCCUACGGGAGGCAGCAGUGGGGAAUAUUGCACAAUGGGCGAAAGCCUGAUGCAGCGACGCCGCGUGAGGGAUGACGGCCUUCGGGAAUUGCACGGCAAUUGGUAGGGAAGAAGCGAAAGUGACGGUACCUGCAGAAGAAGCACCGGCUAACUACGUGCCAGCAGCCGCGGUAAUACGUAGGGUGCGAGCGUUAUCCGGAAUUAUUGGGCGUAAAGAGCUCGUAGGCGGUUUGUCGCGUCUGUCGUGAAAGUCCGGGGCUUAACCCCGGAUCUGCGGUGGGUACGGGCAGACUAGAGUGCAGUAGGGGAGACUGGAAUUCCUGGUGUAGCGGUGGAAUGCGCAGAUAUCAGGAGGAACACCGAUGGCGAAGGCAGGUCUCUGGGCUGUAACUGACGCUGAGGAGCGAAAGCAUGGGGAGCGAACAGGAUUAGAUACAGCACGGUCCAGAUCCUUGACCAUUGACCCACUAGGUGUGGGGACCAUUCCACGGUUUCCGCGCCGCAGCAACGCAUUAAGUGCCCCGCCUGGGGAGUACGGCCGCAAGGCUAAAACUCAAAGGAAUUGACGGGGGCCCGCACAAGCGGCGGAGCAUGCGGAUUAAUUCGAUGCAACGCGAAGAACCUUACCAAGGCUUGACAUGUUCCCGAUCGCCGUAGAGAUACGAUUUCCCCUUUGGGGCGGGUUCACAGGUGGUGCAUGGUUGUCGUCAGCUCGUGUCGUGAGAUGUUGGGUUAAGUCCCGCAACGAGCGCAACCCUCGUUCCAUGUUGCCAGCACGUAAUGGUGGGGACUCAUGGGAGACUGCCGGGGUCAACUCGGAGGAAGGUGAGGACGACGUCAAAUCAUCAUGCCCCUUAUGUCUUGGGCUUCACGCAUGCUACAAUGGCCGGUACAAUGGGUUGCGAUACUGUGAGGUGGAGCUAAUCCCAAAAAGCCGGUCUCAGUUCGGAUUGGGGUCUGCAACUCGACCCCAUGAAGUCGGAGUCGCUAGUAAUCGCAGAUCAGCAACGCUGCGGUGAAUACGUUCCCGGGCCUUGUACACACCGCCCGUCAAGUCACGAAAGUCGGUAACACCCGAAGCCGGUGGCCUAACCCUUGUGGGAGGGAGCCGUCGAAGGUGGGACCAGCGAUUGGGAAGUGUAUUCCGAUUAGGCAUUCAGGCAUUCCGAAUCAGUAGCUAGCUAGGUUAGC
Molecule: ribosomal RNA, 1525 nt
Filed under: Micrococcus luteus
Lineage: Bacteria; Bacillati; Actinomycetota; Actinomycetes; Micrococcales; Micrococcaceae
Description: bacterial SSU rRNA
Rfam family: Bacterial small subunit ribosomal RNA
Source: RNAcentral